GGAUUAGAUACCCUGGUAGUCCGCACUGUAAACGAUGAUUACUCGCUGCUGGGAGGUAACUUUCAGUGGCUUAGCGAAAGCGAUAAGUAAUCCACCUGGGGAGUACGCCGGCAACGGUGAAACUCAAAGGAAUUGACGGGGGCCCGCACAAGCGGAGGAGCAUGUGGUUUAAUUCGAUGAUACGCGAGGAACCUUACCAGGGCUUGAAAGUUAGUGACCGGUGGUGAAAGCCACCCUUCAGCAAUGACACGAAACUAGGUGCUGCAUGGCUGUCGUCAGCUCGUGCCG
RNAcentral lists this ribosomal RNA (288 nucleotides) under uncultured bacterium. RNAcentral's name for it is "partial 16S ribosomal RNA". It matches the Rfam family "Bacterial small subunit ribosomal RNA", at positions 775 to 1067 of the family's 1533-position model. The record is from RNAcentral.